AACGUGCCCAGUCGUGGGGGAUAACGUAGCGAAAGUUACGCUAAUACCGCAUACGAUCUACGGAUGAAAGCGGGGGACCGUAAGGCCUCGCGCGAUUGGAGCGGCCGAUAUCAGAUUAGGUAGUUGGUGGGGUAAAGGCUCACCAAGCCAACGAUCUGUAGCUGGUCUGAGAGGACGACCAGCCACACUGGAACUGAGACACGGUCCAGACUCCUACGGGAGGCAGCAGUGGGGAAUUUUGGACAAUGGACGCAAGUCUGAUCCAGCCAUUCCGCGUGCAGGAUGAAGGCCCUCGGGUUGUAAACUGCUUUUGUACGGAACGAAAAGGUUUCCAUUAAUACUGGGAGCUCAUGACGGUACCGUAAGAAUAAGCACCGGCUAACUACGUGCCAGCAGCCGCGGUAAUACGUAGGGUGCAAGCGUUAAUCGGAAUUACUGGGCGUAAAGCGUGCGCAGGCGGUUAUGUAAGACAGAGGUGAAAUCCCCGGGCUCAACCUGGGAACGGCCUUUGUGACUGCAUAGCUAGAGUACGGUAGAGGGGGAUGGAAUUCCGCGUGUAGCAGUGAAAUGCGUAGAUAUGCGGAGGAACACCGAUGGCGAAGGCAAUCCCCUGGACCUGUACUGACGCUCAUGCACGAAAGCGUGGGGAGCAAACAGGAUUAGAUACCCUGGUAGUCCACGCCCUAAACGAUGUCAACUGGUUGUUGGGUCUUCACUGAC
Molecule: ribosomal RNA, 720 nt
Filed under: uncultured bacterium
Lineage: Bacteria
Description: bacterial SSU rRNA
Rfam family: Bacterial small subunit ribosomal RNA
Source: RNAcentral